AACGAACGCUGGCGGCAUGCCUAACACAUGCAAGUCGAACGAGACCUUCGGGUCUAGUGGCGCACGGGUGCGUAACGCGUGGGAACCUGCCCUUAGGUUCGGAAUAACUCCCCGAAAGGGGUGCUAAUACCGGAUAAUGUCUUCGGACCAAAGAUUUAUCGCCUUUGGUUGGGCCCGCGUUGGAUUAGCUAGUUGGUAGGGUAAAAGCCUACCAAGGCGACGAUCCAUAGCUGGUCUGAGAGGAUGAUCAGCCACACUGGGACUGAGACACGGCCCAGACUCCUACGGGAGGCAGCAGUGGGGAAUAUUGGACAAUGGGCGAAAGCCUGAUCCAGCAAUGCCGCGCGAGUGAUGAAGGCCUUAGGGUUGUAAAGCUCUUUUACCCGGGAUGAUAAUGACAGUACCGGGAGAAUAAGCUCCGGCUAACUCCGUG
This 433-nucleotide ribosomal RNA is filed under the name uncultured bacterium. RNAcentral's name for it is "partial 16S ribosomal RNA". It matches the Rfam family "Bacterial small subunit ribosomal RNA", at positions 29 to 507 of the family's 1533-position model. The record is from RNAcentral.